This 543-nucleotide ribosomal RNA is filed under the name Streptomyces bambusae. RNAcentral's name for it is "bacterial SSU rRNA". It matches the Rfam family "Bacterial small subunit ribosomal RNA", at positions 770 to 1313 of the family's 1533-position model. The record is from RNAcentral. Lineage: Bacteria; Bacillati; Actinomycetota; Actinomycetes; Kitasatosporales; Streptomycetaceae.
GAACAGGAUUAGAUACCCUGGUAGUCCACGCCGUAAACGAUGAGUGCUAAGUGUUAGGGGGUUUCCGCCCCUUAGUGCUGCAGCUAACGCAUUAAGCACUCCGCCUGGGGAGUACGGUCGCAAGACUGAAACUCAAAGGAAUUGACGGGGGCCCGCACAAGCGGUGGAGCAUGUGGUUUAAUUCGAAGCAACGCGAAGAACCUUACCAGGUCUUGACAUCCUCUGACAAUCCUAGAGAUAGGACGUCCCCUUCGGGGGCAGAGUGACAGGUGGUGCAUGGUUGUCGUCAGCUCGUGUCGUGAGAUGUUGGGUUAAGUCCCGCAACGAGCGCAACCCUUGAUCUUAGUUGCCAGCAUUCAGUUGGGCACUCUAAGGUGACUGCCGGUGACAAACCGGAGGAAGGUGGGGAUGACGUCAAAUCAUCAUGCCCCUUAUGACCUGGGCUACACACGUGCUACAAUGGACAGAACAAAGGGCAGCGAAACCGCGAGGUUAAGCCAAUCCCACAAAUCUGUUCUCAGUUCGGAUCGCAGUCUGCAACUC